Long non-coding RNA from Mauremys mutica (yellowpond turtle), 831 nucleotides. RefSeq lists it as uncharacterized. Lineage: Eukaryota; Metazoa; Chordata; Testudines; Geoemydidae. The transcript has 6 exons. The record is from RefSeq and is a predicted model, not a curated record.
AAACAUUUGCAGUGAUUGUGGUUGUUGCAAUUAGUGACUGUCUCAGACACCUGGAACAGAGCUAGCCUGUGAGCCUUGGCAGUUAGACAUCAUUUACCUGCUUUUCAGAGUCUCUGUAACAGGACUGCCUCAAGGAUCUGACAGGAGGAAUUGAGUAUGCUGCCAAGAUAUUAAAUGAAAUUCCCCAGAAAGACAUUCAGUGUUCUAAAAGAGCCUCAAAGGCAGAAAGGGAAGGAAAUGGGCAAGACGGAGGGUGAUGUCUGCUCUGUGGGAGAAGGAAGGAACAACUCUACCCUAACUCCCCAGCAUGUUCUCACAAACCGAAGAGUUUCAUCGGACAAAGACACUGCGCAUUUUACUGAGAGAACGGUUUGCUGGAUCACUGGCUUAUAGAUUGAUGAACACCAGAUGGAACUUGUGCAGAAUGUUUUCUGCAGUACUUUAAGCCACAUGGUGAAGAAAACAGUCAAGAGAAUGAAGAGUUCAGAGAGAACACUGACAAAACACACACAGCUUCAAAACCCUUGACUCUGCAAUAACAUUUAAGCCCUGCAUAAGAGGUAUGGAUAGUAAAAGGAAGUUUGAACAGCUGAGAGUCUGCAUCAAGGCUUGACACCAGACAUGGACCAGAAUGAUCUGAUAUUUCAGAAGUGUCACAGACAGAAGAGAAAAGUUACUUGCAGAUUUUGGACUCUUUGGUGUAUGCUCAAUUAUGCUCCAUUGGACAAAGAAAGGUGGAAGAUUGGCCAGAAAAAUUUGAACUUGCUUGACAUGCAUAAAUUAUUCUGCCUCGUGUUAAUUCCAGCUCUACAUUGGCUUCAUAUCCCCCUU